UAUGAUUCCAUGCUUCCAAGAAAAGCAUCUAGAGAGAGAAGUAGUGCCCGUACCGCAAACCGACACAGGUAGAUGAGGAGAGAAUCCUAAGGCCGGCGGAAGAAUUGCAGUUAAGGAACUAGGCAAAUUGACCCCGUAAGUUAGCGAGAAGGGGUGCCUGCGAGAGCAGGCCGCAGAGAAUAGGCCCAAGCAACUGUUUAGCAAAAACACAGGUCUCUGCUAAAGCGCAAGCUGAUGUAUAGGGGCUGACGCCUGCCCGGUGCUGGAAGGUUAAGGGGAACACUUAGCGCAAGCGAAGGUGUGAACUUAAGCCCCAGUAAACGGCGGCCGUAACUAUAACGGUCCUAAGGUAGCGAAAUUCCUUGUCAGGUAAGUUCUGACCCGCACGAAUGGCGUAAUGACUUGGGCACUGUCUCAACUGCAAAUCCGGCGAAGUUGUAGUGCGAGUGAAGAUGCUCGCUACCCGCGAUUGGACGGAAAGACCCCGUAGAGCUUUACUGUAGCUUAGCAUUGAAUACCGGUAUUGUCUGUACAGGAUAGGUGGGAGACUGGGAAACUAGGGCGUCAGCCUUAGUGGAGUCGUCCUUGGGAUACCACCCUGACAGUACUGGGGUUCUAACAGGACGCCAUGAAUCUGGUGACUGGACAUUGUUAGGUGGGCAGUUUGACUGGGGCGGUCGCCUCCUAAAAAGUAACGGAGGCGCCCAAAGGUUCCCUCAGAACGGUCGGAAAUCGUUCGUAGAGUGCAAAGGCAGAAGGGAGCCUGACUGCGAGACCUACAAGUCGAGCGGGGACGAAAGUCGGGCUUAGUGAUCCGGUGGUACCUCGUGGGAGGGCCAUCGCUCAACGGAUAAAAGCUACCUCGCGGAUAACAGGCUGAUCUCCCCCAAGAGUCCACAUCGACGGGGAGGUUUGGCACCUCGAUGUCGGCUCGUCGCAUCCUGGGGGCUGUAGUAGGUCCCAAGGGUUGGGCUGUUCGCCCAUUAAAGCGGCACGCGAGCUGGGUUCAGAACGUCGUGAGACAGUUCGGUCCCUAUCCGUCGCGGGCGUAGGAAAUUUGAGAGGAGCUGUCCUUAGUACGAGAGGACCGGGAUGGACUGACCUCUGGUGCACCAGUUGUUCUGCCAAGAGCAUGGCUGGGUAGCUAAGUCGGGAAGGGAUAAACGCUGAAAGCAUCUAAGCGUGAAGCCUCCCUCAAGAUGAGAUUUCCCAUAGCAUAAGCUAGUAAGACCCCUUGAAGAACACGAGGUUGAUAGGUCAGAGGUGUAAGUGUGGUAACAUAUUUAGCUGACUGAUACUAAUAGGUCGAGGGCUUGAUC
RNAcentral lists this ribosomal RNA (1319 nucleotides) under metagenome. RNAcentral describes it as "bacterial LSU rRNA". It matches the Rfam family "Bacterial large subunit ribosomal RNA", at positions 1593 to 2925 of the family's 2925-position model. The record is from RNAcentral.